RNAcentral lists this non-coding RNA (27 nucleotides) under Homo sapiens (human). The record is from RNAcentral. Lineage: Eukaryota; Metazoa; Chordata; Mammalia; Primates; Hominidae.
UGAGGUCUUAUUAGUUGGUCUUGACUA